AUGGCUCAGAUUGAACGCUGGCGGCAGGCUUAACACAUGCAAGUCGAGCGGUAACAGAGAUAGCUUGCUAUCUGCUGACGAGCGGCGGACGGGUGAGUAAUGCUUGGGAAUAUGCCUUAUGGUGGGGGACAACAGUUGGAAACGACUGCUAAUACCGCAUAACGUCUACGGACCAAAGGGGGGGAUCUUCGGACCUCUCGCCAUUUGAUUAGCCCAAGUGAGAUUAGCUAGUUGGUAAGGUAAAGGCUUACCAAGGCGACGAUCUCUAGCUGGUUUGAGAGGAUGAUCAGCCACACUGGGACUGAGACACGGCCCAGACUCCUACGGGAGGCAGCAGUGGGGAAUAUUGCACAAUGGGCGAAAGCCUGAUGCAGCCAUGCCGCGUGUGUGAAGAAGGCCUUCGGGUUGUAAAGCACUUUCAGUUGUGAGGAAAGGGUGUUUGUUAAUAGCAAACAUCUGUGACGUUAACAACAGAAGAAGCACCGGCUAACUUCGUGCCAGCAGCCGCGGUAAUACGAGGGGUGCAAGCGUUAAUCGGAAUUACUGGGCGUAAAGCGUUCGUAGGCGGUUUAUUAAGCAAGAUGUGAAAGCCCAGGGCUCAACCUUGGAACUGCAUUUUGAACUGGUAGACUAGAGUACUGUAGAGGGUGGUGGAAUUUCCAGUGUAGCGGUGAAAUGCGUAGAGAUUGGAAGGAACAUCAGUGGCGAAGGCGGCCACCUGGACAGAUACUGACGCUGAGGAACGAAAG
Molecule: ribosomal RNA, 749 nt
Filed under: uncultured Colwellia sp.
Lineage: Bacteria; Pseudomonadati; Pseudomonadota; Gammaproteobacteria; Alteromonadales; Colwelliaceae
Description: bacterial SSU rRNA
Rfam family: Bacterial small subunit ribosomal RNA
Source: RNAcentral